Non-coding RNA from Mycena vulgaris, 98 nucleotides. The record is from the annotation of a GenBank genome assembly. Lineage: Eukaryota; Fungi; Basidiomycota; Agaricomycetes; Agaricales; Mycenaceae.
GUCUUCGUGGGGGAGUGAACCCUACUGCCGGCUGGUAGGGUAUAGAGGUAGGUAACAAGCCAUCGGGAGAGACGGUGGUUCGACUCCGCCCGAAGACA